This 395-nucleotide ribosomal RNA is filed under the name uncultured bacterium. RNAcentral's name for it is "bacterial SSU rRNA". It matches the Rfam family "Bacterial small subunit ribosomal RNA", at positions 28 to 410 of the family's 1533-position model. The record is from RNAcentral.
GAUGAACGCUGGCGGCGUGCUUAACACAUGCAAGUCGAACGAAGCGCUUUGAAGUUUUCGGACGGAAGAGUGACUGAGUGGCGGACGGGUGAGUAACGCGUGGGUAACCUGCCUCAUACAGGGGGAUAACAGUUAGAAAUGACUGCUAAUACCGCAUAAGCGCACAGUACCGCAUGGUACGGUGUGAAAAACUCCGGUGGUAUGAGAUGGACCCGCGUCUGAUUAGCUGGUUGGUGAGGUAACGGCCCACCAAGGCAACGAUCAGUAGCCGGCCUGAGAGGGUGAACGGCCACAUUGGAACUGAGACACGGUCCAAACUCCUACGGGAGGCAGCAGUGGGGAAUAUUGGCACGAAUGGGGGGAAACCCUGAUGCAGCGACGCCGCGUGAGUGAAG